This 399-nucleotide RNase P RNA is filed under the name Borborobacter arsenicus. RNAcentral describes it as "Pseudaminobacter arsenicus Bacterial RNase P class A". It matches the Rfam family "Bacterial RNase P class A". Rfam says of the family: Ribonuclease P (RNase P) is a ubiquitous endoribonuclease, found in archaea, bacteria and eukarya as well as chloroplasts and mitochondria. The record is from Rfam by way of RNAcentral. Lineage: Bacteria; Pseudomonadati; Pseudomonadota; Alphaproteobacteria; Hyphomicrobiales; Phyllobacteriaceae.
CCAGCCAGCCGGGCGGCCGCACCAGCAGGAGCCGAAAGGCUGCGGGUGAGGAAAGUCCGGGCUCCAUGGAAACACGGUGCCGGAUAAUGACCGGCGGGGGCGACCCCAGGGAAAGUGCCACAGAAAGCAAACCGCCAUGGCUUGCCAUGGCAAGGGUGAAAGGGUGGGGUAAGAGCCCACCGCGCGACUGGCAACAGGAGCGGCAGGGCAAACCCCACCGGGAGCAAGACCGAAUAGGGAUGGUGUGAAGGGAAACCUUCAGGGCUGUUUCCGGCCCCGCCAUCCGGGUAGGUUGCGUGAGGCGCAUGGCAACAUGCGUCCAAGACGAAUGGCCGCCACGUUUUCGUGCCCUCGGGCGCGAGGGCCAUACAGAACCCGGCUUAUAGGCUGGCUGGCAUU